UUUUCUUUGGCCAUAAAAUAUGCUAAUCUUACCAAAAAAAGUUUUAGGAUUUAAAUGAUAUUGAAAAAUUUCCUGGAACACUUGAAUCAUAUCUAUACAUAAAACAAGGAAGGAAAAUUUUCACCUGUGAGAUCUUGAAUAUUUUUCUGUUCCAUUUGAUUUUGAAUUUUUUUCAGUUGCAUUAAUAAUGAGUGUCAAUGUGAGACCAUUUUUCACAUCUAUCAUCUUUCAUAAAUGAACAAACCUCAGUUAAGGAAUUUUCUUCUUACCUAGUGUUUUGAUCACAUCCCUACAGUUUUAUAAUCUGAUGUUCAUUUUUAAGAGUUUAUAAUACUAGCUUUAAUAUCCAUUUAACCCAAAUAAACUUUAGAAGAAUAUUUUCUAUUUCUUUACAUGUUAUUACUUUCAAUAGAAAAAAAAAAUUCUUUUCAGCUAUCCUGUUUGCUUUUAACUUCUAAUUGGAGAACACUGUAGUUGAGAGAUAUGGCUUUGGAGGAUAUAUUGAUAUGUUUGUUGUGGCUUAAUCUGUAGUCAAUCUCUUUAAAUAUUUCAAAUAUUCUUAUUUGUUUUGUUAUGAUGUGUCAAUCAUUGUGUUUAUAUCAUUUUGUUCUUCAAAUUUUCAUGUCUCUGAUUUUUUUCAAGCAAAUAUAUUAACGAUCUUCAAAUUUGUUCUUAUAUUUAUAAUCAUUUUUGCUUUGAGUACUUUAAGCUAUAUAAUCUGACAUUAUUAUAUCAUAUUCUAUAUGAAAAUGUAGUUUAGCAAGAUGGACUACUAUUAGGAUAGCAUUAUACACCUUCACAUUGGAAUCCAGAUUCUGUAUCUUGAUGCAGUUUAUUUCUUGAUCACAGUUGCUUGAGUGCAUUCUCAGUAAAGCAGUGAACUAUGCGGUUUUACAGGGGUUCCAGAGUCUUCCCUUUCUGGUUCCUCUAGGUCCUUCCUCUAGGUCCUCAGAAUUUCAUGUCUUUGGGUAUGUAUUGGGGAAAGGGGAGAGAGGAGUGUUCAGGGGAAUGUUAAAAGGCCAUUCAAGAGUUUACUACAUCUAGCUGCUUUCCCAGAAGGAGGAUAUUAUUUUGGUGAAACAUAGAAAUGUUUGGCUCACAAUUUAAUGCUUAUCCCUAGAAUAUCUUUUGUUUUCCUGAUAUUGGAUGUGCUGCAUUUUUUAUAACAUUUCAUUAGCAUGAAUUUGCAUCCUUCAUGUUCA
RNAcentral lists this long non-coding RNA (1202 nucleotides) under Marmota monax (woodchuck). The record is from RNAcentral. Lineage: Eukaryota; Metazoa; Chordata; Mammalia; Rodentia; Sciuridae.